Molecule: transfer RNA, 64 nt
Filed under: Dendrobaena veneta
Lineage: Eukaryota; Metazoa; Annelida; Clitellata; Crassiclitellata; Lumbricidae
Description: tRNA-Ile
Source: RNAcentral
GAUAUGACGCCGGAAGAACGGAUAACUUUGAUGUCGUUAACUAUGGAGAAAUCUCCUCAUAUCU